GUGGCUGUCUAAUAAACUGACUGUUUGUUCACUCAGGUCUUGUGUUGUGUGGGUUGGUCGCGUACACCGGUACCUCUGCUGAGCGAGCUGAUUCCCCGACUUAAUAACACUAACGUAAACGAGAUGCCGGGCAGCGCAACAUUCCAGUGAAAGUAAUGCAGAAAUGCUGUCUGAUAAUACCCGUCUGUCAUCCAGUUGAAUCCAGCAAUAAUUUGAUACCCUAAUUACACAGAGGCAAUGUCUCCGUUUCUCGAGAACACUUUUCCAUAACGCGAUCUUACAGCGAUAAUCGUAAUUCUUAGUGAGAUAUGGGAGUUGUGACAGACAGUCGUGGUGCUGUGAACUAAUUGCCCUGUCUAGCCAUGGACAUCAGACCGAGGACCUUAACUGUUGUUUGGGGCAUGGAACGGAGACAUUAGCGAGAGAGUGCUAUAUAAUAUGCUUGAAACAAGAACAACAAAAUAAAAGACGAUGGCAGCCUUUCUAACCAACGAAGUGUAAACGUCCAUGUAUUGAGUGUUUCCAGCAGACGAAAGACGUCGACGCUACCAUGGUCACCAGUAAGGCCGAAGGUCCAAUGAUACCAUUAAUUCAGAAGAUCUUUUGCCUUUCCUUAAGGAGCCAUUGAGACCCCACAACGUAAGGACAAUAUCUUACUUUGUGUCGUUGAAAGAAAUCAAGCGACCCCAGACACUUUUGCUGAUGGAUGGGUCUGCAAACAUUUCAGUGGAUCCAGGGCUUCGAUCUGUUGCCGUUACCAAAUUGAUGCAACGUUACAGACAGACAGGGCGGACCGUUAACAGGCCAAGAACAGGCAGACCCAGGGUGACCACGCCCCAUGAUGACCGGUACUUGCGUACCUUGCACCUCCGAAAUCGCUUCCUGACAGUGACGUCAUCGGCGACAAAUGCCUUAGAUCACAGGGUUAGUCGACAGACAGUGGCAAGGAGAUUAAGGGCUCAUUGAAUCAGGGCUUUUAGACCAUACAGAAGACAGCUAUUGACAGCGCAACAUCGUCGUCUGCGAUUGAGAUGGGCCCGGACUGUACGACGUUGGCAACGACGUGACUGGCAGAGGGUUGUCUUCACUGA
Molecule: long non-coding RNA, 1091 nt
Organism: Haliotis rufescens (red abalone)
Lineage: Eukaryota; Metazoa; Mollusca; Gastropoda; Lepetellida; Haliotidae
Exons: 3
Source: RefSeq, a predicted model, not a curated record